AGAAACAAAAGGGUGGUGUUUAAACAAAAGGGAUCAAAAGUGGUGUUUAAACCGAAGAUAUGGAAAAUGUGGUGUUUAAACCAAAAGUCGGUGUUUAAACCGAAAAAGAGGGAAAGGUGGUGUUUAAACCAAAGAGAGAGGUGUAUAACCAUGACAGUGUCAACCCAAAUUGUGGUGUUUAAGCCCAGAGAAAAAAGUAAAGCUUGCCUAAGCAAUUGGGAGUAACAAGGCAAGUGAAAG
RNAcentral lists this long non-coding RNA (240 nucleotides) under Lathyrus oleraceus (garden pea). RNAcentral's name for it is "Pisum sativum (pea) long non-coding RNA (PSAT_LNC024306)". Lineage: Eukaryota; Viridiplantae; Streptophyta; Magnoliopsida; Fabales; Fabaceae. The record is from RNAcentral.